GGGCUCUUAGCUCAGUCGGUUAGAGCGCGCCUCUGAUAAGGGCGAGGUCCGUGGUUCGAAUCCACGAGGGCCCACCA
RNAcentral lists this transfer RNA (77 nucleotides) under Chloroflexota bacterium. RNAcentral describes it as "Chloroflexi bacterium tRNA-Ile". It matches the Rfam family "tRNA". Rfam says of the family: Transfer RNA (tRNA) molecules are approximately 80 nucleotides in length. The record is from RNAcentral. Lineage: Bacteria; Bacillati; Chloroflexota. RNAcentral also lists the same sequence under 1 other name.